GGCCGCGUAGCUCAGUUGGCUAGAGUGUUGGAGCGGGUUCAAAUCCCACCGAGGCCG
Molecule: transfer RNA, 57 nt
Filed under: Schistocephalus solidus
Lineage: Eukaryota; Metazoa; Platyhelminthes; Cestoda; Diphyllobothriidea; Diphyllobothriidae
Rfam family: tRNA
About the family: Transfer RNA (tRNA) molecules are approximately 80 nucleotides in length. Their secondary structure includes four short double-helical elements and three loops (D, anti-codon, and T loops).
Source: Rfam by way of RNAcentral